GAAAUGCGAUAAGUAAUGUGAAUUGCAGAAUUCAGUGAAUCAUCGAAUCUUUGAACGCACAUUGCGCUCGCCAGUAUUCUGGCGGGCAUGCCUGUUCGAGCGUCAUUUCAACCAUCAAGCCCCGGGCUUGUGUUGGGGACCUGCGGCUGCCGCAGGCCCUGAAAACCAGUGGCGGGCUCGCUGUCACACCGAGCGUAGUAGAUUCUCAUCUCGCUCAGGGCGUGCUGCGGGUUCCGGCCGUAAAACAGCCUUAUUUUACCCAAGGUUGACCUCGGAUCAGGUAGGAAGACCCGCUGAACUUAAGC
Molecule: unclassified non-coding RNA, 305 nt
Filed under: plant metagenome
Description: partial contains 5.8S ribosomal RNA, internal transcribed spacer 2, and large subunit ribosomal RNA
Rfam family: 5.8S ribosomal RNA (bases 1-105)
Source: RNAcentral